GGGCGGACGGGACCGUGUCUGCAGGUUUCUGGCGAACCUGUGCUGAAUGACAAGACGAUCUAGCGCCUCGUGUAGCUAACUAGGUCACUGUCAGCACUUAAUUACUGUUUGUUUCAUUUUAGUGCGUGCCUUAUGAAUAAACCGGCUAUUAGGCUGAUGCUUCAAGUAACUCUAUCCAGCACCAAGGCUCCUCUGUUCAGAUAGCAGAAGCAAGACAAAGCAUCGUCCUUUUUGUGCGCACUGAUUUAAGAAGUCCAACACACCUGAAACCAAGGCAAUUAGCUUUCAGCCUGUGUACCACAGAACGUUGCACUGUUACUGAAGACCUAAAAUUUGAAGUCUGUGGUCCUCAGAGUUGAGGGAAGUUGAGCCUAAAGAGAAGCUGCCAUGUUUGCUGGAUGUGUUAAAGACUGGGAUUUAUAAGCAUAAGUUUUAAGACAUAUACAUAUAUGAAAUGAGUUUCACAUCUAAAACAGUGCAAAUGUAGGAUGUUGCUGGAGUGGCUGUCCUUCCCCUACCUCUUCAUACAGAUGAGACAAAAGACCCAUACCACAGGCUUGAGUUUGCCUUUGCAGCUCCGCCUUCCCCCACGUCUUCUCUGCAACCCUUUGGAGCUGGAGCUGCAGCAUGUCGGUGUGGAGCUUAAAGAUUCCCCCAGAAGUUCAGAGGGAAGACUGAAAUUGAAAUUAAACCUAAAUUAUGACUUUAUGGUCUAAAAGGUAAACUUAAGCAACUGAAAAUUAAGUAUAGACUUUAACUGCUCAUUUUCAAUUUGAAAGCCUUCCCCCCCCAUGUCAAUCCUAUCAAGCCUAUGCCACACUUUAGAGAAACAAGAGGAGAGGGAGCUCUUAACAGCUUAGAAUGGAAGUGUCACUGAUGGAAAGGAGCUGGGCUGGGAGCCCGAGUUAAUCUAGCAACAUCAGCCUCACCUUCUCCAGUGUCUUCCUUCAGCAACUAGAGAUUUGACUUCCGCGGAACAACCCCAUUGUGUACCAGCACAACCCAACUCCUCAUCAUGCGUUAUAGUCCCAGCACAGGAGUGGUGCUUGAGUUGCUUGAAAGCUUUGGGAGGCUCCAGAAUGACAAGUCAAAUGUCUCUGCAUAUGAAGUAAGAAGAUACAGCGUGCAGUUAAUCUUUGGGACAGGCUAAGAGUAGUCCAAAUGAGCUAAAUUCAUGUUCUUCAGUUUAGAACCUUAUUUAGCACAAUAAGAAAUUAUAAAAGUAAAAAUCUAUGUUCAUUAUGUGAGCUAGAGGAGAUGAUAUGGAAAGUCAGGAAUGGAAAUGAAAAAACAGAAUAACUUGUUUAUCCUUCUUUUAAAAAGUAAAAUUUCCAGAUUUUAGCUACAAAGAUAAAGUUCACAGUCUUCCAGCCCAGCCGCUGUACUUUUCUGGGAAUUGAGAAACACUAUAUAAAGAACUUGGUGUUAUAAUUAAAUUUCUCUUUCACACAACUUCAGUUUCCAUCUAAAACGACUCCCAGUUCAGCAUUUCAUGUAAAAUCAGAGGAGCCAGGUGCUUCAGAAUUGCUGUGGCUGAACUGGACAGAGAAUAUUAUGUUUUUCUCUUAAAUGUAAUCAGUGAUGCCUCAGAAGCAGUUGACAUCCUUUUAAGUUUUUUAUUUCACUUAAAAUGGUAAAAAUCCCUUCAAUUUUCUUAUCUCUAAUAGUUUCUUAAACUU
Molecule: non-coding RNA, 1679 nt
Organism: Struthio camelus australis
Lineage: Eukaryota; Metazoa; Chordata; Aves; Struthioniformes; Struthionidae
Source: RefSeq, a predicted model, not a curated record